AGCAGCCGCGGUAAUUCCAGCUCCAAUAGCGUAUAUUAAAGUUGCUGCAGUUAAAAAGCUCGUAGUUGAAUUUCGGGACCAUCAUGUCGGUCGUGCCUCGGUACGUACUGGCAUUGUUGGUUUCUCCCUUCUGACGAACCAUGAUGUCAUUUAUUUGGUGUUGUGGGGAAUCAGGACUGUUACUUUGAAAAAAUUAGAGUGUUUAAAGCAGGCUAACGCUUGAAUACAUUAGCAUGGAAUAAUGAAAUAGGACGUUCGAUCCUAUUUUGUUGGUUUCUAGGAUUGACGUAAUGAUUAAUAGGGAUAGUUGGGGGCAUUAGUAUUCAAUUGUCAGAGGUGAAAUUCUUGGAUUUAUUGAAGACUAACUACUGCGAAAGCAUUUGCCAAGGAUGUUUUCAUUAAUCAAGAACGAAAGUUAGGGGAUCGAAGACGAUCAGAUACCGUCGUAGUCUUAACCAUAAACUAUGCCGACUAGGGAUCGGAUGAUGUUAAUUUUUAAUGAC
RNAcentral lists this ribosomal RNA (503 nucleotides) under uncultured Glomus. Its description in RNAcentral is "SSU rRNA". It matches the Rfam family "Eukaryotic small subunit ribosomal RNA", at positions 569 to 1075 of the family's 1831-position model. The record is from RNAcentral. Lineage: Eukaryota; Fungi; Glomeromycota; Glomeromycetes; Glomerales; Glomeraceae.